GGAAAGCUGUGCAUAUUUUUAUUGUAAUAAACUCUUUAUUUUAAGAAACCCCAGAACUCCAUCUGUGCUGUGUGUGAUCCUUGUCAUAGUUUCUCACCCCUCCCUCUCCCUCCCUGAUGUCUGCACUCUGCUCUCCUGCUAAUUACCUGACCAGUUCCACCUGUGCCUCUCCUUUCUGAAGCUGCUCUCUGUCUGCCACUGGUGCCAGAGUGGAAAGAGCAUUUUGCCUUCUCACCAGCCCAUCAUAAAGAGCCUGUCCAAGUUUUUUCCUCUUUUCCCAAGUAUUUGUUUGUCCAUUCCUGCCUUCUGCCUUUCUCAUGGUUUUGGAUGUACAGUCCUGUCUGGACUCAAGUUGAAUCAUCUCAUCUCAAAUUGAGCAUGGACCUCACCUGCAAUCCUCCUGUUCUGAGCCUGAUCUCCUCCCAAUAUGAACUUGAAGCUCACCAGUAUUCCUCCUGCAGUUCUCAGUUUAAGCGUCAACUACAACUUCUGUCAGGAGGAUCCAGGGGUCUCCUCAGCUCUUCACCAUUUUCCUCUGAGCAGAAUAAACUUCUUAAUUUUUCCA
Oryzias melastigma (Indian medaka) is the source of this 565-nucleotide long non-coding RNA. RefSeq lists it as uncharacterized. The transcript has 2 exons. The record is from RefSeq and is a predicted model, not a curated record. Lineage: Eukaryota; Metazoa; Chordata; Actinopteri; Beloniformes; Adrianichthyidae.